This 2445-nucleotide ribosomal RNA is filed under the name Triticum aestivum (bread wheat). RNAcentral describes it as "partial small subunit ribosomal RNA". The record is from RNAcentral. Lineage: Eukaryota; Viridiplantae; Streptophyta; Magnoliopsida; Poales; Poaceae.
AUGACCCUCAACUUGUCAGAUAAUCACUUAGUUGGUCGCAUCUCUUCUGAUAUAGGCCACCUGAAGGACUUGGUUGCAUUAGAUUUGUCUAAUAAUAGUCUUUCUGGCACUAUCCCAAGCAAUUUAGGGAAUUUGACAAAAGUCACCAUGUUGUACCUAAGCAAUAACCAACUUUCCGGAUCCAUUCCUCAAGAAUUUGGCAAUUUAAUAAGUCUAGUUCAGUUGGAGCUCACUUAUAACAACCUCUCGGGUCAAAUUCCACGAGAAUUAGGUUACCCUAUGGAAUUAGAGUACCUGAAUCUUGGUACAAACAAACUCUCCGGUUCUAUCCCAAACAAUCUAGGGAAUUUGAAAAAACUCACUUCCUUGUACCUUAGCGAUAACCAACUUUCCGGAUAUGUUCCUCAAGGAAUUGGCAAGUUAAUGAAUCUAUUUAUGUUGGAACUUUCUUUCAACAACCUCUCUGGUGCCCUGCCAUCUGGUCUGUGUGCGGGAGGUCAGCUACAACAUUUGACCGCUGUCAACAACAAAUUGGUUGGGCCCUUACCAUCAAGUUUGCUAAGUUGUACAAGCCUAGUGUGGGUUCGACUUGAGCGGAAUAACCUCGAAGGAGAUAUCACUAGGAUGGGGCCUUAUCCAAAUCUUGUCUAUAUUGAUAUCAGUUCAAAUAAACUGUUUGGAAAAUUAUCUCAUCGUUGGGGUGAGUGCUACAAACUUACCAUGCUACGUGCCUCAAACAACAACAUAAGUGGAGUAAUACCAUCAAGCAUAUGGAAAUUAUCUCAAUUGGGAAUACUUGAUGUUUCAUCAAACAAGCUUGAAGGACAUAUUCCACUAGAAAUUGGCAAUGUUACGAUGUUGUUCAAUUUGAGCAUUUCUGGUAACAUGCUCCGCGGAAAUAUGCCACAAGAAAUUGGAUUGCUCAAGAAUUUGGAGUAUCUAGAUUUAUCAUCAAACAACCUAACUGGACAGAUACCAGGAUCAAUUGGGCAUUGUUUGAAGCUUCACUUUCUGCAGUUGAGUCAUAAUCACCUCAAUGGUACCAUUCCUAUUGAACUAGGAAAGUUGGUAAACCUACAAGAUCUGUUGGACCUAAGUGACAAUUCAAUUGAUGGCGCUAUUCCAAGUUCGUUAGGUGGUCUUAGUUUGCUUGAAGCCUUGAAUCUUUCUCACAAUGAACUGAAUGGCAGCAUUCCAACAUCAUUUCAAAGCAUGAGUGGUAUCCAAUCGAUGGAUGUGUCAUGCAACGAACUAGAGGGGUCAGUGCCGCAUAGUAGGCUCUUUGAAGAAGCUCCAAUCAAAUGGUUCGUGCAUAAUAAUAAAUUGUGUGGUGUUGUUAAAGGUUUGCCCCCAUGUGAUCUUCCUCCAAGUAGUAAACAAGGAAAAAGGUCUAGAUCUAUAUUACUAGCUAUUGUACCUGUUGUUGUAUCUUUUGUAUUUGUUACUUCACUAAUAACAUGGCAAUGCAAAAAGAAGAAACCCAAGGCAGUAACUGCAAAUGAAGUACAACAAAACAAGAUAUUCGCCAUCUGGAACUUCAAUGGGGAGGAUGUGUACAAGAAAAUUGUUGAUGCCACAAACAAUUACAAUAAUGUUCAUUGCAUUGGAACUGGUGGAAAUGGAUCUGUCUAUAAAGCUCAGUUACCAACAGGAGAAAUAUUUGCAGUUAAGAAGAUCCAUAUGGGUGAAGAUGACGAUCAACUUAACCGUGAAAUACAUGCAUUGAUCCAUAUUCGACAUCGCAACAUCGCAAAAUUAUUUGGUUACUGCUCUGCAACCCAAGGAAGAUUUCUUGUUUAUGAGUACAUGGAAAGAGGAAGCUUAGCAACAUUAUUGAAGGGCAGGGAAAGUGCGGUUGAAUUGGAUUGGACAAGGAGGUUAAAUAUUUUUUGGGAUGUUGCUCAUGCUUUGUCUUACAUGCAUCACGAUUGCUUCACGUCGAUAGUCCAUAGAGAUGUAACAAGCAACAAUAUUUUGCUUGACCUGGAAUUUAAAGCAUGCAUCUCGGAUUUUGGUCUAGCUAAAAUACUAGAUGUGGAUGAAUCGAACUGCACAAGUCUUGCUGGGACAAAAGGAUAUCUUGCCCCAGAGCUUGCAUACACAACAAGGGUGACAGAGAAGUGUGAUGUGUAUAGCUUUGGAGUGCUGGUUCUAGAGGUAUUCAUGGGACACCAUCCAGGUGAUUUCCUUUCAUCCAUGGAUAACAACAACAUGAGUGCAUUGCUUGAGGACUUGCUAGACACACGGCUCCCACGCCCUGAAGCUGAUAUUGCAAGUGAAAUAUUUCAAGUGGUCACCAUCGCCAUUCGGUGCAUAGAGCCUGAUCCAUCGCAUCGUCCAACGAUGCAGCAAGUGAUCAAGGUGUUCUCAACAGCUGAACGAUCACCUGCUGAUAAUCUUGAUUAUCUUCACACUGCCAUUGUCAUCCCCGCCUGCUGGGCGUGA